RNAcentral lists this ribosomal RNA (100 nucleotides) under Citrobacter freundii. RNAcentral also lists the same sequence under 8 other names. The record is from RNAcentral. Lineage: Bacteria; Pseudomonadati; Pseudomonadota; Gammaproteobacteria; Enterobacterales; Enterobacteriaceae.
CCUGGCGGCUGUAGCGCGGUGGUCCCACCUGACCCCAUGCCGAACUCAGAAGUGAAACGCCGUAGCGCCGAUGGUAGUGUGGGGUCUCCCCAUGCGAGAG